RNAcentral lists this long non-coding RNA (8163 nucleotides) under Homo sapiens (human). RNAcentral's name for it is "long non-coding RNA NONHSAT021754.2". The record is from RNAcentral. Lineage: Eukaryota; Metazoa; Chordata; Mammalia; Primates; Hominidae.
CUUUAUUUGCCUUGUACAGCAUCAAUUUUCUUACAUUCUCAGUUAAUUGGCCAUUAAAGUGCUGGAAAUUUUCUUAAUCAUGAUAACAUUUGUUAAAAAGAAAUCAGAACUAAUAUCAGGAACAUGGCGGCAUGAAGGAAACAGUUCCCUUACAAAACACAGAAAAUGGAAGCCCCUCAUGUUGAGGGGGUGGGUUGGACAAUUUGCAAACAGAUUCUAAUUUCCUCUCACCGUCAGCACCAAACUGGCUGGGACCACCACCCCUGGGUGAAAGAAACAACACUAAAGAACCCUAAAAACACCCACACACCCUGACUACCACCACCUCUGGGCCAUCUGUGGGCGUUUGCUGUUUGAACAGAUCCAGUCUCAGGAAAGAGGAAGACCUGACCUCCGUCUGCAACCCAUCACCCCACCCACCCUUACUAACAAAAGCCCCCAAAGUCAUUACAAUGAAAAAGUGGGUUUCCAUUACCCCAAAACUAACAAUGUUCAGUAAAAAUGAGGAUAAUAAACACAAAAGCUUGCUUAGUAAACAGGAGCUCUCAGCAGUCAAUGCAAAAAAAUAUAUAUAUAUGAAAUCUUAAGGCAAAUACUGUUGACUUUGCACAUGGGCUGGACGAACUUGGAACUCUUUACCUAUCUGUAUAGUUCCAGGAGCCUACAGGCGGUCGGUUUUUCAGCGCUUGCCACCGGGCCAGGCAAGGUCUUUGCAUGAUUGCUGAGGCAGUCGGUGUGUUUCCCUUUGGAGUUUAUAUAGGAACACACCACCCAAGGCUGAUGUUUUGUUAUAUAUAUAUAUAUGUACACACAUACAAAGGCCUGCUACUCUUUCUUUGUGGAAACUGACAGCUCCACCUCGGGAAGCUGGAUGCCAACCUUAUUCCCACUGUCAUUGCUAGAAGAGGAGGACAGUCGGGACUUCUUAGAGGCCAGGGACACCCCACUCCCCUGUAACUUGCCUGUCUCAUCAUCGCUCCCAGUCACCUCAUAAUGACCUUUGCUCUUUGACCCCAAUCCACCAAAGGUACCGAAUUUCAGCUUCCCGUGUUUCCCUUUAACUUUCCCACCUUCCAGAGACACUUCCCCACCUUCAAACUCCAGCGUCCCCGUCGGGGUGGAAGGUCCAGAGAACUCUCUUUCAUCACUGAAUGAAUUUGAGCGGUGCCGUGGCUUCUUACUUUUAAAUAAGGAGAAUUUGCCUUUCGGUGAAGAGGCUUCGGCCUCUGCCUCUCCUUCCAGAGAGCCCAGGCUGGCCUUUGAACUUUUCAGGUCACCUUUGGACCCAGAAAUUGAUGCUUCUGGUGAGCCAGUGACACCACCUUUCCCUUUAGGUUUGGAAAAAUUAAACUUGGGCAUUUUGAUCUUGGACUUUUUCAGUUUGACUUCAGACUCUUCCCACUCGCCGUCUCCAGCACCAGCUUGGAUGCUGGCCUCUGCUUUAGGGAAGUGAACAUCCACCCCCAUUUCUCUGCCAACCAGCUCACGGCCAGAGAAGGUAAAUUUGGGGAUCUUCAUUUUAGGGAAUGUUACUUUUCCAGAUCCACUUUCCAAGUGACCUUGAGGCCCAGACACACUCAGCCCAGGAGCCUGGAGUCCAAUCUGACCUCCUUUCACACCUCCUUCCACCUUUGGUCCUGAGAAAUGAAGGCCCCCAGCAAACUUAGAUGUGUCCAAGUUGAGAGCAGAGGAGACUUGGGGUCCCUUCCACUCACCCCCGGAACCUUUAACACUCAAAUGCCCUUCACCAAGGCUGAUGUCUGGGGCACUGACACCCCCUGAAACAUCCGCACCUCCUUUGAUUUUUGGGCCCUUCAAGUUGAUGCCAAAAUCUGACUCAGGAGAUGCCAUAUUAAAGGCAGGCCCCUUCACACUGAUAUCAGGAGCAGCCCCAUGGAAACCUACUUCUGAACCUUUCAGACCACCUUUGAUUUCAGGCCCAGAAAUCUGCCCAGUUGGGAGUUUCACAUUCACGCCUGGCAGGUUCACAUCACAUCCAGAGGACUUAAUUCCAGGCAUCUGGAGGUUUCCUUCUAGGCCUUGAACACCAAUGCCUGGAAGACCUCCUCCGACAGUGGGGCCUUUGAUCUCACCAGUGGCCCCAAGGCUCCCUUUCACUUUUGGUCCUUCCAAGUUAAAGUCCACAUUCGGUGCUGAAAUCCGAGGCCCUUUCAGGUUCACAUCCACACCUGGCCCCUUCAGUUCGCCAGAAACCUGUGGCCCCUUGGCAUUGACGUGCAAGUCGGACCCCGGAGUAGAGAUGCCAAAUUGGGGCAGCUUCAUUUUGGGAAGUUUAAUGCUGCCUUCGGAUGCCUCCAAGCUUAGAUCAGGAGCUCCUACGGAUACUUUAGGGCAUUUGAUGUCACCAGAGACAGCCAGAUCUCCCUGCAGGCUUGGUCCCCUCAGUGUCACAUCUGGUGCCCCAACGUUAAGCUUUGUUGUGGCAUCGAUCCCUGGCACUUUCACACCGUCUCCUCCCACCUGCAUUUUGCCACCGACACCACUGAGGUUGAGCCCUGGAGCAUGCACCUUCAUGCUGGGAACAGAUGCAUCCAGGUCUCCCUUCAAACUUGGUCCUUUCAAGUUCAGAUCAAGGUCAGGCCCAGAGACUUUUGGCAUAGAGAGGUUCACUGAAGGCAAGUCUACUCCUGGCCCCUUUAGAGAAACAUCGGGCCCUUCGAGCUUAACAUCUGGUCCUCUCAAGUCUCCUUCAAGAGAGGGUAGCUGGGCAUGGACCUCGGCUCCCCCACCCUCCAUUUUCACACCUGGGAUGCCGAUCUUGGGCAUGGAAAACUUGGGGAACUUAAUUUUUGCUUCUGGACCUUGCAGAUCUACAUCUGGUCCUUCCAGUCCCACGCUGGGGACAUCACCCUUUAUCUUUGGUCCUUUCAAGUUUACAUUCACAUCAGGGAUGGAGACUUGAGGGGCAGAAAUGCCGAAGGACGGUGUUUUGACUUUAGCAUCUAGGCCUUCGAUGUUGAUGUCAGGUGCACCCAAGUUUGCCUGCACUUUGGGGCCUUUCAGGUCACCCUCUAUUUUUGGCACUGAGAUGUCCACAUCUGGCAUCUUGACCUUGGGAGCCUUCGCCUUGAUGUCAAGACCUUCGACGUGAAUCGCUGGCAAAGAAAGUUCCAGAUCAGGUGCCUGGAGUUCACCCUCCAGUUUGGGGCUAGGGAGAGGGGCCUCAGCUUUAAAUUUAGGUGAUUUAAUGUCAAACUCUACAUCUGGGAAGUACAUUUUUCCAAACAUCGUUUUCUUGGUUUUGGGCGAUUUCACGUCGACUUUGAGUGCAGCAUCCGGCCCUGCGAUGUUGACAUCUACAUCCGGAGCCUUGAGGCUGGCAUCAAUUUCACCCCCAGGAACAUUCAGGUCAAAUCCCUGUUUUUUGGCCUUAAUCUUAGGACCACUCAUAUGAAUUUUAGGCAUUUUAAACUUACUUUUCUUGCCCUUGCCACCAACACUAAUUUCAGGAGUCUCAAGGUUCAGCUCUGCCUCAGGAACAGUGACAUCCAGUGAAGGUGACUUGAUGUCAGCUUUGGGGCUUUUUGCCCCAAAUCCAAACUUGGGUUUCUUAAAUUUGGGGAUUUUAACAUCUGGCCCUUCGAUGUUAAUAUCUGGGCUGUCCAUGUGUACAUCUAAGCUUGGAGCUUCAACUUUGGGUCCCUUGAGGUCCACUUCACCACCUUCUAACUUCGGACCUGAAAAUCCAAUUUUUGGUGCCUUGAGAUGCAAAUCAACAUCAGGAGCAGUUACUUUAGGAGCAGAUAUCUCCAGCGAUGGCAUCUUCAAAGAUGGGCCACUGAGUUUGGCAUCAGGGCCUUCGAAAUCCAGACGUGGACCUUUAAGAUCUACUUCUGGGCCUUUCAAAGUCCCUUCAACCUUAGGGACAGACACAUCAAAAUCUCCUUUUACUUUGGGUCCUUUCAAAUCCAGGUCAACAUCAGGUAUGGAGAUCUUGGGAGCUUUGAUAUUUAUUUCAGGCAUCUUGAACUUGGGGCCCUUCAGUUUUGCGUCUGGACCUUCGAUAUUCACAUCUGGAAUAUCAACGUCCACCUUGGGUCCCGAGACAUCGAUGUCGGCCUUGGGCAGGCUCACAUCCACAUCUGGACCUUCUCCUUUGAAGCCAGGCAUGCUGAAUUUGGGCAUUUUCACCUUGGGCAUCUUCAGGUGCCAGUCUGGGCCAUGAACAUCCACAUCAGGGGUGUUGAUGUCCACUUUUGGGCCCUUGAUGUCAGCUUCUGGGCCCUUGAGGUCACCUUCCACUUUAGGAAGGGUAACAUCCACAUCGCCCUUCACUUUGGGUCCUUUCAGGUUUAAGUCAAUAUCAGGCAUGGAGAUCUUGGGGGCUUUGAUGCUCAUCUCAGGCAUCUUGAACUUGGGGCCCUUUAGUUUCGCAUCUGGACCUUCGAUAUUCACAUCAGGAACAUCAACGUCCACUUUGGGUCCUGAGACAUCAAUGUCAGCCUUGGGCAGGUUCACAUCCACAUCUGGGCCCUCUCCUUUGAAGCCAGGCAUGCUGAACUUGGGCAUUUUCACUUUGGGCAUUUUUAGGUGCCAGUCUGGGCCUUGAACGUCCACAUCUGGGACAUCAAUGUCCACUUUGGGGUCCCUGAUGUCAACUUCGGGGCCCUUGAGGUCGCCUUCCACUUUGGGCAGAGAAAUGUCCAUGUCGCCCUUCACCUUUGGACCUUUCAGAUUCAGGUCAACUUCAGGCAUAGAGAUCUUCGGUGCCUUGAGGUGUAAGUCAGGCAUUUUAAAUUUGGGGCCCUUCAGUUUCCCUUCUGGACCAUGAAUGUCAAUAUCAGGAGUGUCAAUGCCCACUUUAGGGCCUUUGACAUCCACUUUGGGACCUUUCAGAUCUCCCUCCAGUUUAGGAACGGAAAUGUCCAUAUCUCCUUUUAUCUUAGGUCCUUUCAAAUUCAAAUCAAUGUCACUCAUGGAGAUUUGUGGGCUUUUGAAAUGUACAUCAGGCAUCUUAAACUUGGGACCUUUGAGCUUCCCUUCAGGACCUUCAAUGUCUACCUCUGGCCCUUUCAGAUCACUUUCCACCUUAGGUAGUGAAACAUCCACAUCACCCUUCACCUUGGGACCUUUCAGGUGCAAAUCAAAGUCAGGCAUAGAGAUUUUGGGAGCUUUGAUGUUCAUCUCAGGCAUCUUAAAUUUGGGCCCCUUCAAUUUUCCUUCCGGACCUUCAAUAUUGACAUCAGGUGUGUCAAUGUCCAAACUGGGGCCUUUUAUGUCAAUUUCAGGGCCCUUGAGAUCACCUUCCACUUUGGGCAGAGAGACAUCCACAUCACCUUUCACUUUGGGACCCUUCAAGUUAAAGUCAAUGUCAGGCAUGGAGAUUUUGGGGGCCUUGAUGUUCAUCUCUGGCAUCUUGAACUUUGGACCCUUGAGUUUUGCAUCUGGACCUUCGAUACUGACAUCAGGGGCAUCAAUGUCCACUUUGGGGCCAGAAAUCUCAAUGUCAGCCUUAGGAAGGGUAACAUCCACAUCUGGGCCCUCUCCUUUGAAUCCUGGCAUGCUGAAUUUGGGCAUUUUCACCUUGGGCAUCUUCAGGUGCCAGUCUGGGCCAUGAACAUCUACAUCAGGGGCAUCGAUGUCCACUUUGGGGCCCUUGAUGUCAACUUCUGGGCCCUUGAGGUCACCUUCCACUUUAGGAAGGGAAACAUCCACAUCACCCUUCACCUUGGGACCUUUCAGAUGCAAAUCAAAGUCAGGCAUGGAGAUCUUGGGGGCUUUGAUGUUCAUCUCAGGCAUCUUGAAUUUAGGGCCCUUUAGUUUCGCAUCUGGACCUUCGAUAUUCACAUCAGGAACAUCAAUGUCCACCUUGGGUCCUGAGACGUCAAGGUCAGCCUUGGGCAGGUUCACAUCCACAUCUGGGCCCUCUCCUUUGAAGCCAGGCAUGCUGAACUUGGGCAUUUUCACUUUGGGCAUUUUUAAGUGCCAGUCUGGGCCUUGAACGUCCACAUCUGGGACAUCAAUGUCCACUUUGGGGCCCUUGAUGUCAACUUCAGGGCCCUUGAGGUCGCCUUCCACUUUGGGCAGAGAAACGUCCACGUCGCCCUUCAUCUUUGGACCUUUCAGAUUCAGGUCAACUUCAGGCAUAGAGAUCUUCGGUGCCUUGAGGUGCAGGUCAGGCAUUUUAAAUUUGGGGCCCUUCAGUUUCCCUUCUGGACCAUGAAUAUCAAUAUCAGGAGUGUCAAUGUCCACUUUGGGUCCUGAGACAACAACGUCAGCCUUAGGCAAGUUCACAUCCACUUCUGGGCCCUCGCCUUUGAGGCUGGGCAUGCUGAACUUGGGCAUUUUCAUCUUGGGUAUUUUCAGGCUCCAGUCCAGGCCUUGGCCUUCCACAUCUGGUGCUUUAAUAUCUACCUUGGGACCUCUGAUGUCCACAUCUGGAACCUGCAUUUCACCCUCUAUCUUUGGUGCAGAGAUAUCUACAUUUCCUUUCAUUUUGGGUCCUUUAAGAUCCAGGUCAACAUCUGGCAAAGACAUCUUAGGAGCUCUGAAGUGCAUCUCAGGCAUCUUAAACUUCGGGCCUUUCAACUUCCCUUCAGGUCCUUCAAGGCUCAGAUCUGGAGCAUUAGUAUCUACUUUUGGUGCAGAAAUGUCCACAUUCGCUUUGGACAGGUUCACAUCAAAUUCUGGCCCCUCUCCUUUGAGGCUGGGCAUGCUAAAUUUGGGCAUUUUAAUCUUUGGCAUCUUCAAGUUCCAGUCAGGACCCUGCAUUUCAACAUCUGGGGCACUGACAUCUACUUUUGGGCCUUUCAGGUCCCCUUCCAGCUUUGGCACUGUCAUAUCAUAUUCUCCCUUUACUUUAGGACCUUUCAUAUGCAAGUCCACAUCAGGCAUGGAGAUCUUGGGGGCCUUGAUAUUCAUCUCUGGCAUCUUGAACUUGGGGCCCUUCAGCUUUCCUUCAGGUCCUUCAAUAUUCACAUCUGGAACUUCAACACCCACCUUGGGUCCUGAGAUGUCCACAUCAGCCUUGGGCAGGUUCACAUCCACUUCUGGGCCCUCUGCUUUGAAGCCAGGCAUGCUGAACUUGGGCAUUUUCAUCUUGGGCAUCUUCAGGUGCCAGUCUGGGCCUUGAACCUCCACAUCUGGGACAUCAAUGUCCAUUUUGGCACUUUUAAGUUCAACAUCAGGAACUUUAAUCUCACUUUCAACCUUUGGCAUUGUGACAUCAUAUUCUCCCUUUACGUUAGGGCCUUUCAGAUGUAAGUCCACAUCAGGCAUGGAGAUCUUGGGGACUUUGAUGUUCAUCUCAGGCAUCUUAAACUUGGGCCCUUUCAAUUUCCCUUCUGGUUCCUCAAUGCUCACAUCAGGAGCAGUAACAUCUAUCUUGGGCCCGGAAAUGUCCACAUCAGCCUUGGGCAGGUUCACAUCCACUUCUGGGCCCUCUGCUUUGAACCCUGGCACACUGAAUUUGGGCAUUUUCAUCUUGGGCAUCUUCAAGUGCCAGUCUGGGCCAUGAACAUCCACAUCUGGGGCAUCAAUGUCCACUUUUGGGCCUUUGAGUUCUCCUUCCAGCUUUGGUACAGUUACAUCAUACUCUCCCUUCACCUUUGUACCUUUCACGUGCAAAUCUACAUCAGGCAUGGAGAUCUUUGGUGUCUUGACACUCAUAUCAGGCAGCUUAACAUCGGGGCCUUUAAGUUUUCCCCCCAGACCCUCCAAGUUGACAUCUGGGGCUUCCACAUUGACCUUGGGCCCUGAAAUACUGAUAUCUCCUUUGGGUAGAGUCAUAUGAACAUCUGGACCUUCCCCUUUGGCUCCUGGAGUGCUGAACGUGGGCAUUUUCAUCUUGGGCAUUUUCAGGUUCCAUUCUGGGCCAUGCGCUUCGACAUCUGGGGCACUGACAUCCACUUUGGGGCCUCUGACAUCAACUUCAGGGACUUUGACUUUCCCUUCUACUCUGGGGAGUGUGACAUCUACACCCCCUUUCACUUUAGGUGCGGCCACAUUUAAGUCUACUUCUGACAUAGAGAUCCUACAGGUUCCGGUUUUCCCGGAAGGACUGCCAAGCCUAGGGCCUGUCAAGGUUCCCUCUAGGUUUGGUGUCUCUAUGUCCACUCUGGAGCCUUUAAGUGCCACUUGAGGGCCUUUAACAUCACCUUGCACCCCAGGAGCAGAAACCUUAAUAUCUCCUUUCAGUUUAGG